GGGUUGUGAGGUUAAGCGACUAAGCGUACACGGUGGAUGCCCUGGCAGUCAGAGGCGAUGAAGGACGUGCUAAUCUGCGAUAAGCGUCGGUAAGGUGAUAUGAACCGUUAUAACCGGCGAUUUCCGAAUGGGGAAACCCAGUGUGUUUCGACACACUAUCAUUAACUGAAUCCAUAGGUUAAUGAGGCGAACCGGGGGAACUGAAACAUCUAAGUACCCCGAGGAAAAGAAAUCAACCGAGAUUCCCCCAGUAGCGGCGAGCGAACGGGGAGCAGCCCAGAGCCUGAAUCAGUGUGUGUGUUAGUGGAAGCGUCUGGAAAGGCGCGCGAUACAGGGUGACAGCCCCGUACACAAAAAUGCACAUGCUGUGAGCUCGAUGAGUAGGGCGGGACACGUGGUAUCCUGUCUGAAUAUGGGGGGACCAUCCUCCAAGGCUAAAUACUCCUGACUGACCGAUAGUGAACCAGUACCGUGAGGGAAAGGCGAAAAGAACCCCGGCGAGGGGAGUGAAAAAGAACCUGAAACCGUGUACGUACAAGCAGUGGGAGCACGCUUAGGCGUGUGACUGCGUACCUUUUGUAUAAUGGGUCAGCGACUUAUAUUCUGUAGCAAGGUUAACCGAAUAGGGGAGCCGAAGGGAAACCGAGUCUUAACUGGGCGUUAAGUUGCAGGGUAUAGACCCGAAACCCGGUGAUCUAGCCAUGGGCAGGUUGAAGGUUGGGUAACACUAACUGGAGGACCGAACCGACUAAUGUUGAAAAAUUAGCGGAUGACUUGUGGCUGGGGUGAAAGGCCAAUCAAACCGGGAGAUAGCUGGUUCUCCCGAAAGCUAUUUAGGUAGCGCCUCGUGAAUUCAUCUCCGGGGGUAGAGCACUGUUUCGGCAAGGGGGUCAUCCCGACUUACCAACCCGAUGCAAACUGCGAAUACCGGAGAAUGUUAUCACGGGAGACACACGGCGGGUGCUAACGUCCGUCGUGAAGAGGGAAACAACCCAGACCGCCAGCUAAGGUCCCAAAGUCAUGGUUAAGUGGGAAACGAUGUGGGAAGGCCCAGACAGCCAGGAUGUUGGCUUAGAAGCAGCCAUCAUUUAAAGAAAGCGUAAUAGCUCACUGGUCGAGUCGGCCUGCGCGGAAGAUGUAACGGGGCUAAACCAUGCACCGAAGCUGCGGCAGCGACACUAUGUGUUGUUGGGUAGGGGAGCGUUCUGUAAGCCUGUGAAGGUGUGCUGUGAGGCAUGCUGGAGGUAUCAGAAGUGCGAAUGCUGACAUAAGUAACGAUAAAGCGGGUGAAAAGCCCGCUCGCCGGAAGACCAAGGGUUCCUGUCCAACGUUAAUCGGGGCAGGGUGAGUCGACCCCUAAGGCGAGGCCGAAAGGCGUAGUCGAUGGGAAACAGGUUAAUAUUCCUGUACUUGGUGUUACUGCGAAGGGGGGACGGAGAAGGCUAUGUUGGCCGGGCGACGGUUGUCCCGGUUUAAGCGUGUAGGCUGGUUUUCCAGGCAAAUCCGGAAAAUCAAGGCUGAGGCGUGAUGACGAGGCACUACGGUGCUGAAGCAACAAAUGCCCUGCUUCCAGGAAAAGCCUCUAAGCAUCAGGUAACAUCAAAUCGUACCCCAAACCGACACAGGUGGUCAGGUAGAGAAUACCAAGGCGCUUGAGAGAACUCGGGUGAAGGAACUAGGCAAAAUGGUGCCGUAACUUCGGGAGAAGGCACGCUGAUAUGUAGGUGAAGCGACUUGCUCGUGGAGCUGAAAUCAGUCGAAGAUACCAGCUGGCUGCAACUGUUUAUUAAAAACACAGCACUGUGCAAACACGAAAGUGGACGUAUACGGUGUGACGCCUGCCCGGUGCCGGAAGGUUAAUUGAUGGGGUCAGCGCAAGCGAAGCUCUUGAUCGAAGCCCCGGUAAACGGCGGCCGUAACUAUAACGGUCCUAAGGUAGCGAAAUUCCUUGUCGGGUAAGUUCCGACCUGCACGAAUGGCGUAAUGAUGGCCAGGCUGUCUCCACCCGAGACUCAGUGAAAUUGAACUCGCUGUGAAGAUGCAGUGUACCCGCGGCAAGACGGAAAGACCCCGUGAACCUUUACUAUAGCUUGACACUGAACAUUGAGCCUUGAUGUGUAGGAUAGGUGGGAGGCUUUGAAGUGUGGACGCCAGUCUGCAUGGAGCCGACCUUGAAAUACCACCCUUUAAUGUUUGAUGUUCUAACGUUGACCCGUAAUCCGGGUUGCGGACAGUGUCUGGUGGGUAGUUUGACUGGGGCGGUCUCCUCCUAAAGAGUAACGGAGGAGCACGAAGGUUGGCUAAUCUGGUCGGACAUCAGGAGGUUAGUGCAAUGGCAUAAGCCAGCUUGACUGCGAGCGUGACGGCGCGAGCAGGUGCGAAAGCAGGUCAUAGUGAUCCGGUGGUUCUGAAUGGAAGGGCCAUCGCUCAACGGAUAAAAGGUACUCCGGGGAUAACAGGCUGAUACCGCCCAAGAGUUCAUAUCGACGGCGGUGUUUGGCACCUCGAUGUCGGCUCAUCACAUCCUCGGGCUGAAGUAGGUCCCAAGGGUAUGGCUGUUCGCCAUUUAAAGUGGUACGCGAGCUGGGUUUAGAACGUCGUGAGACAGUUCGGUCCCUAUCUGCCGUGGGCGCUGGAGAACUGAGGGGGGCUGCUCCUAGUACGAGAGGACCGGAGUGGACGCAUCACUGGUGUUCGGGUUGUCAUGCCAAUGGCACUGCCCGGUAGCUAAAUGCGGAAGAGAUAAGUGCUGAAAGCAUCUAAGCACGAAACUUGCCCCGAGAUGAGUUCUCCCUGACUCCUUGAGAGUCCUGAAGGAACGUUGAAGACGACGACGUUGAUAGGCCGGGUGUGUAAGCGCAGCGAUGCGUUGAGCUAACCGGUACUAAUGAACCGUGAGGCUUAACCUUACAACGCCGAAGCUGUU
Molecule: ribosomal RNA, 2926 nt
Filed under: Escherichia coli
Lineage: Bacteria; Pseudomonadati; Pseudomonadota; Gammaproteobacteria; Enterobacterales; Enterobacteriaceae
Description: 23S ribosomal RNA
Rfam family: Bacterial large subunit ribosomal RNA
Source: RNAcentral